RNAcentral lists this ribosomal RNA (557 nucleotides) under uncultured bacterium. Its description in RNAcentral is "bacterial SSU rRNA". It matches the Rfam family "Bacterial small subunit ribosomal RNA", at positions 102 to 694 of the family's 1533-position model. The record is from RNAcentral.
ACGGGUGAGUAACGCGUGGGAAUCUACCGUACCCUACGGAAUAGCUCCGGGAAACUGGAAUUAAUACCGUAUACGCCCUACGGGGGAAAGAUUUAUCGGGGUAUGAUGAGCCCGCGUUGGAUUAGCUAGUUGGUGGGGUAAAGGCCUACCAAGGCGACGAUCCAUAGCUGGUCUGAGAGGAUGAUCAGCCACAUUGGGACUGAGACACGGCCCAAACUCCUACGGGAGGCAGCAGUGGGGAAUAUUGGACAAUGGGCGCAAGCCUGAUCCAGCCAUGCCGCGUGAGUGAUGAAGGUCUUAGGAUUGUAAAGCUCUUUCACCGAUGAAGAUAAUGACGGUAGUCGGAGAAGAGGCCCCGGCUAACUUCGUGCCAGCAGCCGCGGUAAUACGAAGGGGGCUAGCGUUGUUCGGAAUUACUGGGCGUAAAGCGCACGUAGGCGGAUAUUUAAGUCAGGGGUGAAAUCCCAGAGCUCAACUCUGGAACUGCCUUUGAUACUGGGUAUCUUGAGUAUGGAAGAGGUAAGUGGAAUUCCGAGUGUAGAGGUGAAAUUCGUAGA